RNAcentral lists this ribosomal RNA (484 nucleotides) under uncultured bacterium. Its description in RNAcentral is "partial 16S ribosomal RNA". It matches the Rfam family "Bacterial small subunit ribosomal RNA", at positions 30 to 507 of the family's 1533-position model. The record is from RNAcentral.
AUUGAACGCUGGCGGCAUGCCUAACACAUGCAAGUCGAGCGGCAGCAGGGAUCUUGGCACUGGGUUCAGCGUGGGGCGGGUGAGUGAUGCAUAUGAAUAUGCCUGCUGGUGUGGGAUAAAGUCCGGAGACGGGCGCUAUAAUCGCAUACGUCCUGUGCGAGAGAGAGGGGGAUCUUCUGACCUCACGCUAUCAGAUGAUCCUAGGUCGGAUUAGCUAGUUGGUGGGGUAAAGGCCUACCAAGGCGACGAUCAGUAACUGGUCUGAGAGGAUGAUCAGUCACACUGGAACUGAGACACGGUCCAGACUCCUACGGGAGGCAGCAGUGGGGAAUUUUGGACAAUGGGCGAAAGCCUGAUCCAGCAAUGCCGCGUGUGUGAAGAAGGUCUUCGGAUUGUAAAGCACUUUUAGUUGGGAAGAAGGGCAGUGAGUUAAUACGGUGCUGUGUUGACGUUACCGGAAGAAUAAGCACCGGCUAACUACGUG